Molecule: ribosomal RNA, 449 nt
Filed under: uncultured bacterium
Lineage: Bacteria
Description: partial 16S ribosomal RNA
Rfam family: Bacterial small subunit ribosomal RNA
Source: RNAcentral
AACGAACGCUGGCGGCAUGCCUAACACAUGCAAGUCGAACGAGAUCUUCGGGUCUAGUGGCGCACGGGUGCGUAACGCGUGGGAAUCUGCCCUUUGGUUCGGAAUAACAGUUGGAAACGACUGCUAAUACCGGAUGAUGACGAAAGUCCAAAGAUUUAUCGCCAGAGGAUGAGCCUGCGUAGGAUUAGCUAGUUGGUGUGGUAAAGGCGCACCAAGGCGACGAUCCUUAGCUGGUCUGAGAGGAUGAUCAGCCACACUGGGACUGAGACACGGCCCAGACUCCUACGGGAGGCAGCAGUGGGGAAUAUUGGACAAUGGGCGAAAGCCUGAUCCAGCAAUGCCGCGUGAGUGAUGAAGGCCUUAGGGUUGUAAAGCUCUUUUACCAGGGAUGAUAAUGACAGUACCUGGAGAACAAGCUCCGGCUAACUCCGUGCCAGCCGCCGCCGUAA